Non-coding RNA from Marchantia polymorpha subsp. ruderalis, 98 nucleotides. NCBI's taxonomy places the organism in Eukaryota, Viridiplantae, Streptophyta, Marchantiopsida, Marchantiales, Marchantiaceae. The record is from the annotation of a GenBank genome assembly.
UGCAGUUAUGCACUCAAGGCCUUCACGGAUCUCCGGAUUUCUUCGGACGUUGAUUGACAAAUCCAGAGAUCCGUGAAGGCCUCGAGUGUAUAACUGCA